Molecule: long non-coding RNA, 648 nt
Organism: Suricata suricatta (meerkat)
Lineage: Eukaryota; Metazoa; Chordata; Mammalia; Carnivora; Herpestidae
Exons: 3
Source: RefSeq, a predicted model, not a curated record
AUUCGUUGGUUUCGGUGGAUCCGAGUGCUCUAGUAUCUCUAGGAAGGGCUUCCUAACCGGAAGUAGCUUCGGACGUGGGUGGCCUUUCGUCUCUACCCGCGGCGUUGGAAAAGUUCGGGUUCAGGUCCUGGGUCCCCAGGAGCAAGAGAGAUCAAGAGAAGGAAUGAGGGAAGAAGGAGGACGUUCUUGCACUUGGAUAUCAUUGCUUCUGGGGACGACUUCAAGCGGACACCAAGAUUUCUGACUCUAAGAACUUCGUGGCAGUUGCAGGAGACACAAAAGACAUAGAACCCAUGUUACUGCUUCCUGAGCACAGAAGAAAAUGAUCAAGGCCCAGAGGGCCUCCUCUGGGAAUAUGCCAAGCCGAGCUCAGUGGCUACAGUUCUUCAGAGCACCAUAGCCUGGUGACCCAGCGAUCCAGCUUCAUAGCAGUCCGGUUUUUAUUCAGGAAUAAAACCACUGAAAUGGCCGAGGAAAGUGAAAAGGCUGGAUGGCUUCCGAAUUAUCUCUAUGAAUAGGUAGCUGCAGUGGAGUUUGAGUGGAGAUUUGGCAGUAGGAAGUGGAAAGUGUUUUUCUCUAUUAAGGGUUUGAAUUGGGGCACUUGGGUGGCUCAGUUGGCUAAGCAUCUGACUUUGGCUCAGGUUAUGA